RNAcentral lists this ribosomal RNA (254 nucleotides) under uncultured bacterium. RNAcentral describes it as "partial 16S ribosomal RNA". It matches the Rfam family "Bacterial small subunit ribosomal RNA", at positions 524 to 776 of the family's 1533-position model. The record is from RNAcentral.
UACAGAGGUCCCGAGCGUUGUUCGGAUUUACUGGGCGUAAAGGGCGCGUAGGCGGCCUCCGCAAGUCAGUUGUGAAAUCUCCGAGCUUAACUCGGAAAGGUCAACUGAUACUGCGGGGCUAGAGUGCGGAAGGGGCAACUGGAAUUCUUGGUGUAGCGGUGAAAUGCGUAGAUAUCAAGAGGAACACCUGCGGCGAAGGCGGGUUGUUGGGCCGACACUGACGCUGAGGCGCGAAAGCUAGGGGAGCGAACGGG